Myotis myotis is the source of this 943-nucleotide long non-coding RNA. RefSeq lists it as uncharacterized. The record is from RefSeq and is a predicted model, not a curated record. The transcript is spliced from 2 exons. NCBI's taxonomy places the organism in Eukaryota, Metazoa, Chordata, Mammalia, Chiroptera, Vespertilionidae.
GCGAGAUGAGCAGCAGGGGCAGCCCCACGGCGAUGUACGUGACCAUCUUGUCCACGGCCAGCUCCAGCCGCAGCCCCUUGAACUUGGGCUCCGAGGGCUCCUUCAGCAAGAAGUCCGAGAACACGUACUCGGUGGCCAGGAUUCCAUCCAGGAUGCCACAUUAUAUUUAACUGUGUGGAUGAAAAAGGGGUCACAUACUAAACCUGACAAGCUCAGGGGAGGCCUGCAUGGUGGGCCUUACAAACUAACAGACUGAAAGCAACCACAUAAGAUGAUCUGAACAUAAAAAUUUGCAGCUAAUAGCAAGUCAUGGCAGAUAGUCCUCGGUAGGUAUCUUCCUUGACGAAGGUCAAUCUUUACCUUAAGUGAGCAUGUUUAUUGUCUUUUUGCAUCUAAGAUAACAUACUUUGGAAUGUCAGAGUCAUCCUUUUUUUCCAGGCCCCACAGGCCACAGUCUUCUAGAGCAAGAGACCACAGAAACCCUCACUGUUAUCUUAUUGCCCAAAUACCAUCUCUGUGCUAUAACUGUUCAUUGUUAACUACCCUUUACUCACCAAUGUAAAACAAGCACAUGUGUCUUUGGUUUACUUUUUAUCCAACCUCAGAGAUUUUCCUGCUUUGCUCUCUCCCGCCUUUCUAAUCUACCACCAAUGGAUUUCAUGUAAUCUGGCUUAUGUCUUCUCCUUUGAUUCUAGCAUAUAAAAUAAGCUGUAAAUUACAUAAAUGUCUAAUCACUAUGUUGUACACCUGAAACUAACAUAAUAGUGUAUGUCAACUGUAAGUGAAAAAUUUUUAAGUUAUUAAAAAGAUGAAAAUAAAAAAAAACAAUUAAAAUAAUAAGUUGCAAAACUGCCAUUCUCAGGAGCUUUUUCUCAAGUCAUUGAGAUGUUGCUUCCCAGAAAUUGUCAUCAGUUUGGCUCAAAUAAACUGUUAUAAGACUUUU